GUGGGGAAUCUUGCGCAAUGGGCGAAAGCCUGACGCAGCCAUGCCGCGUGAAUGAUGAAGGUCUUAGGAUUGUAAAAUUCUUUCACCGGGGACGAUAAUGACGGUACCCGGAGAAGAAGCCCCGGCUAACUUCGUGCCAGCAGCCGCGGUAAUACGAAGGGGGCUAGCGUUGCUCGGAAUUACUGGGCGUAAAGGGCGCGUAGGCGGACAGUUUAGUCAGAGGUGAAAGCCCAGGGCUCAACCUUGGAAUUGCCUUUGAUACUGGCUGUCUUGAGUGCGGGAGAGGUGAGUGGAACUCCGAGUGUAGAGGUGAAAUUCGUAGAUAUUCGGAAGAACACCAGUGGCGAAGGCGACUCACUGGCCCGUUACUGACGCUGAGGCGCGAAAGCGUGGGGAGCAAACAGGAUUAGAUACCCGGGUAGUCC
RNAcentral lists this ribosomal RNA (425 nucleotides) under uncultured bacterium. RNAcentral describes it as "partial 16S ribosomal RNA". It matches the Rfam family "Bacterial small subunit ribosomal RNA", at positions 354 to 796 of the family's 1533-position model. The record is from RNAcentral.